UUACCAACCCAUCGCCUCUCUUCAUACCCAAAAAAAGAAAAAACCCUCUCCUCUCUCUCGUUUCCGGCAGAGGUGAAGGCCCAAAAAAUGGUUUUCUAAAUUAUCUCCAACAUGCUCGCCCUCUCCUUCUCCCUCUACUUCGUUGCCUCGACUCCCUUCUUCCCUCUCCCCCAGUCUCUCGUUCCCUCAUCUCUCAUUCCCUCCACCCCGUGCGACAGUCGGAGUAGUUGGAUUCUGCAACUGAGGGACUUUGCUAAUGCUGGCAUGGUAGGACCGUAGGAGCCAGUGGUUUGCAGGUAAGUCAUGGCCUGACUUAGAUAUGCUACUAUGGGGUGGCUUGCUGAUCCAGGUGUCAAAGAAGGCCCACAUAGACUAUCUAAUCUCAGUCCAAAUGAGUAAAGAACUCAGGUGACUCUAUGGUCUAUGGCCAAAUCACCUCUCAUGUUUGGGGGUGAUGCCAAGGCAAAUUGAUAUGAGCACAUACAAGCUCAUCGCAAACCCUGUAUUGCUGAAAAUAAAUUCUUUUAGCAUAAACAACAUGGAGGCACGUACACUAUCCACCUUUUGAUCAUAUUAGUCAUUUCCAAAAGCAUUUAGAAGGAAAUUUGCAAUGGAAUAAUUAUAUGUUGUAAUUUCAGUUUCCUUACAUCUCUGGCACAAAUGUUUUAAGUGGCAAAAGGGGUUCUCACCAAGCAAUCUAGAAGUUUGAAAGUAUGAACCCAUAUUGGAAACAGGUGUUUCAGUUCCUACUAGCUGCAUGGAUCAGAAUUCUAAAGGUUAGGUUGUUGAAGCUAUUAGCUAACACCUUGAGCAGAUCUGUUGGAAGGAUUUCUUGGGAAGGAAGCAAACAAAAGCCUAAUAUUUGCUUCUAUAAGAAAAUGGUUCUCUUGACAUCUUACGGAAGAGAUGAAGAGAAAAUCAACAAACAGAAGUAAGAAGGAAAAUUUCCAACCAUAAAAAACAAAUGCACCAGAUUUUUCCUGGAUGCUCCUCCAAACCAGAUUACUCAUGAAGAGUCAAAGAACUUCUCAAUAUCCCCUUGCAGAUAGGGUGUCAACCAGAUUUGGAGCUAUACCGUAAUGGGAACUUAGUAAGCUGCUACUCUAGCCUGUGUGCAUUGGUGAAAAUGGCUAAACAUGAUAUACUUCGAGUGUUUAUUGGGUUUCCCCUGAUUGUGUUGUAAUAAGUGUGUGGCAAAAGAUUCCUUGAGGGAGAACGGAACAACUGUAGAGGAGGUGGACAAGUGUGAGGUUAAUUACUUCUCACAUUUCAUUCUUGUUUCUUUCUAAUUGUGGUGAUGAGUUAUUGAAUAGUGCCUAUGGCAAUAAAUUAGCUGUAAUAGACAUUCUUCUUCUCUUUCAUAAUUAGGACUGGUUUUUACUCUUUUUAUGUCAAUCAAAUUAAAACAAUGUUGCUGAUUUUGAGUAGCUUGAUGCCCAAAAUUUUGGGAUCAUGGUCACUUGGUUUUAUAGCAUUCAAGAACUUCAAGUGUAAAUCAAGAACACUCUUUCCUUCGUAGUGUGACAAACUCUGAUGGAGAGAGAAACUCUUCAGCUUA
Macadamia integrifolia is the source of this 1558-nucleotide RNA transcript. RefSeq lists it as uncharacterized. The transcript is spliced from 6 exons. NCBI's taxonomy places the organism in Eukaryota, Viridiplantae, Streptophyta, Magnoliopsida, Proteales, Proteaceae. The record is from RefSeq and is a predicted model, not a curated record.